This 472-nucleotide ribosomal RNA is filed under the name uncultured bacterium. RNAcentral's name for it is "bacterial SSU rRNA". It matches the Rfam family "Bacterial small subunit ribosomal RNA", at positions 355 to 825 of the family's 1533-position model. The record is from RNAcentral.
UGGGGAAUUUUGGACAAUGGGCGCAAGCCUGAUCCAGCAAUGCCGCGUGCAGGAUGAAGGCCUUCGGGUUGUAAACUGCUUUUGUACGGAACGAAACGGCGAACUCUAAUAAAGUUUGCUAAUGACGGUACCGUAAGAAUAAGCACCGGCUAACUACGUGCCAGCAGCCGCGGUAAUACGUAGGGUGCAAGCGUUAAUCGGAAUUACUGGGCGUAAAGCGUGCGCAGGCGGUUAUAUAAGACAGAUGUGAAAUCCCCGGGCUCAACCUGGGACCUGCAUUUGUGACUGUAUAGCUAGAGUACGGUAGAGGGGGAUGGAAUUCCGCGUGUAGCAGUGAAAUGCGUAGAUAUGCGGAGGAACACCGAUGGCGAAGGCAAUCCCCUGGACCUGUACUGACGCUCAUGCACGAAAGCGUGGGGAGCAAACAGGAUUAGAUACCCAAGUAGUCCCUGAGCGGGCUGGCAAGGCGCAU